CAGAGUCAGGGGGAGUUUGUUGCAAAGAGUAGUGGGGUGGAAUCGUGGCUAUCACCGGGACACGCCACGUGGAGUCUGUCACGGGGAGUGGAGCGGCGUCCGUUGUCGCGACUUGCCAGAGGAUGGAAGAAUCGUGCGGUAUCCAUCACAGGAAGCGGAGCAGGAUCGUGGGCAUCAUAGCGGUCUGUCAGGGAGUAAUGGAGCCGCACGAAAUCCAUCGCAGGAAGUGGAGCAGGAUCGUGGCCGUU
Molecule: long non-coding RNA, 248 nt
Filed under: Elaeis guineensis (African oil palm)
Lineage: Eukaryota; Viridiplantae; Streptophyta; Magnoliopsida; Arecales; Arecaceae
Description: long non-coding RNA (EGUI_LNC058565)
Source: RNAcentral